GUUGCCUCGAAGAACGUGUGGUAGGCCAGCUGGGCUGUGCAGUGCUAGCUCCGGACAGCAGAGUGCAGUGCAUGUACAGCAGAGAGGAAUGUAUCUGUCAGGCUGCUGCUAGAGGGAAACAUCCACGUCUAUGCACUGAUCAGGCUGCAUGAGCUGUACAAACCCAUCGGACACCACAGUUGUGUGUGUUGUUGGCAUUGCUGCAGUUGCCACAUCUUUGCUGCUGUUGAACACCAAAUCAUGCUGCAGUCCCACCUUCAGUUAGCGUAGGCACAUCCUGAGAAUGAGUUAGAAGUGAUUACAUAUCUGUUCUGUCUUUGAUCUCUGGAAAAUUCUUCUUAUGUUUUUAUUCUCUUAAAAAAUGUUUUCUGUGCUCAAAGAAAAUAAGUAAUCAAAUGAGUUGUUAAUUUCCCUGAUGUUGGAGCAUCUGUUCUCCCUCAUUGGAGUUAGGGGAGACAAAAGCAGGGAACUAAGAAGUUUCCAAGAAGCUCACAUCAAUGCAGUAUUAUAAUCAAAGAACAACUGGUAUGACACUGUGUUGCAUGUGGAAGAAGCUCUAAGUAGCAGAUUGCCUGACUCUUUGGAGCCAGUGGUAUUACACCAGACGGUUGCUGUUGCAAGCUAGCAAAAAGAUGUUCUGUGCUUACAUUAGUUUGUAUGUAUUUUUAUUUGACUUUUCAGAUUUUCACUUUACAUUCACAUGGAGGAAUUGGCAGUCACUUCAAGAAGCAGCCAUAAUCAGGAUUGGAAUAAAUUUAGUUAUCUGCAAAUCCAUAUUUCAACAGCUGGAAGAAUAAUUUUCGUGAUCUGCAAGUCCAUAUUUCAACAGCUGGAAGAAGCAAGAAGUGUUAUUUUGAAGCUUGGGGUUAUUUUCUGUUGAAUUCCAAUGACUGAUGAAGGCAGUCCAGUUGAAAACCUGCUGAAAUAGCAUCUUCCAGAUUUCCAAAACUGCCUUCUACAGCCUGAUUCCAGCAUACCCUGCUUUACUGCUGGCAUCUUCCCUAGAGCUGUACUGCCUGUUUUGCUUGGCAGGUAGCUCUCCUUUUUUCCUUUCUUAUUGGUUCAAGCUUAGACCAGGAGACCACAUGCCCUGCCUGUUCCCAAGUUCUUGUCCCAAAUGCUUUUGAAAAGGUAGCAGAACCAAGAUGGAGACAGUGUCCCAGAAACUUAAGGUCU
This 1176-nucleotide long non-coding RNA is filed under the name Phasianus colchicus (ring-necked pheasant). RNAcentral's name for it is "lncRNA (ENSPCLG00000019692.1)". Lineage: Eukaryota; Metazoa; Chordata; Aves; Galliformes; Phasianidae. The record is from RNAcentral.